UCGAGAAUCUUUCUCAAUGGGCGAAAGCCUGAAGGAGCGACGCCGCGUGGAGGAUGAAGGUCUUCGGAUUGUAAACUCCUGUCAUGCGGGAACAAAUUCCGCCGUUAAACAAAUGGUGGAACUGAUAGUACCGCAAGAGGAAGAGACGGCUAACUCUGUGCCAGCAGCCGCGGUAAUACAGAGGUCUCAAGCGUUGUUCGGAUUCAUUGGGCGUAAAGGGUGCGCAGGCUGUGGGGCAAGUCGGAUGUGAAAUCCCGGAGCUUAACUCCGGAACUGCAUUCGAUACUGCCCCGCUGGAGGACUGGAGAGGGGACUGGAAUUCUCGGUGUAGCAGUGAAAUGCGUAGAUAUCGAGAGGAACACCGGUGGCGAAGGCGGGUCCCUGGACAGAUCCUGACGCUGAGGCACGAAGGCCAGGGGAGCAAACGGG
RNAcentral lists this ribosomal RNA (429 nucleotides) under uncultured bacterium. RNAcentral's name for it is "partial 16S ribosomal RNA". It matches the Rfam family "Bacterial small subunit ribosomal RNA", at positions 355 to 776 of the family's 1533-position model. The record is from RNAcentral.